RNAcentral lists this ribosomal RNA (497 nucleotides) under uncultured bacterium. Its description in RNAcentral is "partial 16S ribosomal RNA". It matches the Rfam family "Bacterial small subunit ribosomal RNA", at positions 28 to 507 of the family's 1533-position model. The record is from RNAcentral.
GAUGAACGCUGGCGGCGUGCCUAAUACAUGCAAGUCGAGCGAACAGACGAGGAGCUUGCUCCUCUGACGUUAGCGGCGGACGGGUGAGUAACACGUGGAUAACCUACCUAUAAGACUGGGAUAACUUCGGGAAACCGGAGCUAAUACCGGAUAACAUGUUGAACCGCAUGGUUCAACAGUGAAAGACGGUCUUGCUGUCACUUAUAGAUGGAUCCGCGCCGCAUUAGCUAGUUGGUAAGGUAACGGCUUACCAAGGCAACGAUGCGUGGCCGACCUGAGAGGGUGAUCGGCCACACUGGAACUGAGACACGGUCCAGACUCCUACGGGAGGCAGCAGUAGGGAAUCUUCCGCAAUGGGCGAAAGCCUGACGGAGCAACGCCGCGUGAGUGAUGAAGGUCUUCGGAUCGUAAAACUCUGUUAUUAGGGAAGAACAAAUGUGUAAGUAACUAUGCACGUCUUGACGGUACCUAAUCAGAAAGCCACGGCUAACUACGUG